Molecule: ribosomal RNA, 268 nt
Filed under: uncultured bacterium
Lineage: Bacteria
Description: partial small subunit ribosomal RNA
Rfam family: Bacterial small subunit ribosomal RNA
Source: RNAcentral
AGAAUGAACGCUGGCGGCGUGCUUAACACAUGCAAGUCGAGCGAGGCCUGGGGGGCAACUCCCAGAGUCGAGCGGCGGACGGGUGAGUAACACGUGGGUAACCUGCCCGGAAGUGGGGAAUACCUCGGGGAAGCUCGAGCUAAUACCGCAUGACAUCUUGGGACGAAAGUCCUGACGAUCAAAGCGGGGUCGCAAGAUCUCGCGCUACCGGAUGGGCCCGCGCCCGAUUAGCUAGUUGGUGAGGUAACGGCUCACCAAGGCUUCGAUC